RNAcentral lists this antisense RNA (125 nucleotides) under Vibrio aestuarianus. RNAcentral describes it as "V_AS5". It matches the Rfam family "Vibrio RNA AS5". From Rfam's summary of the family: Identified by direct cloning an parallel sequencing experiments with 5S/tRNA depletion. Lineage: Bacteria; Pseudomonadati; Pseudomonadota; Gammaproteobacteria; Vibrionales; Vibrionaceae. The record is from RNAcentral.
CUAUACCCAAACUACUUGGAGUUGCAGGUAAGCGGCAAAUGAGUGCAUCCCCAUGAUCAUAGAUAAACUAUGUGAUUGGGGUGAGCAAACGUAGUCAACACCGCUGCAACUUCAAGUAGGAAGGG